Molecule: long non-coding RNA, 663 nt
Organism: Bactrocera oleae (olive fruit fly)
Lineage: Eukaryota; Metazoa; Arthropoda; Insecta; Diptera; Tephritidae
Source: RefSeq, a predicted model, not a curated record
CUUCUACCAAGAGUUCACCACCAGCGAACUCAAAAAGUCACUGGACCAGUAGCAAGUACAUACAUAUAUAUACCAAAGUUGUUAAGCAAGAAAGAUCUAGCUCUUGUGUAAUAAAAAUAACGAUUAUUUUGAGAUCGAAAGCGACGGAAACCAGCGGCCAACAACAAUUGCACUCAAGAAUAAAAACACCAGCAACAAAAUACAGGUCCAGAAUUGAUGUUAGGCGCACCAGAAUAUGGCUAUUUUACGAAUAUUCGUUUUUGAAGGCUUGAACAUUCGGAGGCGUGUGGACAUACAAUUGGCACUAAGGCUAUGUCACAAUUUACCCAUGACUACUUGGCAAUUAAAGGGAAUUAUCACCGUAGUCGAGCAUUUGUAACUGUAGAGGUCUGGUUUACUUUUGGCUUUGUAGAAAUUCUACAGCUAAUCAGAAUGUUUGUUUUGGCUCAACGUCUUAAUUUUGUAAGAAAAUAGACCAUUGAAGUUUUCUUAUACUUAGUAGAUUUUUUUUUUUAUAUCUAAAGUGAGGAAGCCAACAAUUAUAUGUAAAGGAAAAAAGAACCAUUGACGUCAAGCAAUGCUUCAAUAAAAUUUAUGAUCGCACGAGUAAAUAUAAGAAUAAGAAUUAUUUCAUAAAGCAAAGAAUAAACAAUGCGCAAAUAA